CCUACGGGGGGCAGCAGUGGGGAAUAUUGCACAAUGGGCGCAAGCCUGAUGCAGCCAUGCCGCGUGUGUGAAGAAGGCCUUCGGGUUGUAAAGCACUUUCAGCGGGGAGGAAGGCGGUGAGGUUAAUAACCUCAUCGAUUGACGUUACCCGCAGAAGAAGCACCGGCUAACUCCGUGCCAGCAGCCGCGGUAAUACGGAGGGUGCAAGCGUUAAUCGGAAUUACUGGGCGUAAAGCGCACGCAGGCGGUCUGUCAAGUCGGAUGUGAAAUCCCCGGGCUCAACCUGGGAACUGCAUUCGAAACUGGCAGGCUAGAGUCUUGUAGAGGGGGGUAGAAUUCCAGGGGUAGCGGUGAAAUGCGUAGAGAUCUGGAGGAAUACCGGUGGCGAAGGCGGCCCCCUGGACAAAGACUGACGCUCAGGUGCGAAAGCGUGGGGAGCAAACAGGAUUAGAUACCCGGGUAGUC
This 465-nucleotide ribosomal RNA is filed under the name uncultured Klebsiella sp. Its description in RNAcentral is "bacterial SSU rRNA". It matches the Rfam family "Bacterial small subunit ribosomal RNA", at positions 338 to 795 of the family's 1533-position model. The record is from RNAcentral. Lineage: Bacteria; Pseudomonadati; Pseudomonadota; Gammaproteobacteria; Enterobacterales; Enterobacteriaceae.